This 416-nucleotide ribosomal RNA is filed under the name uncultured bacterium. RNAcentral describes it as "bacterial SSU rRNA". It matches the Rfam family "Bacterial small subunit ribosomal RNA", at positions 103 to 518 of the family's 1533-position model. The record is from RNAcentral.
CGGGUGAGUAACACGUAUGCAACCUGCCUGUAAGCGGGGAAUAACCCGUUGAAAGACGGACUAAUACCGCAUAAUACUAAAUUACUGCAUGGUAAUUUAUUUAACAUUAUGCUUACAGAUGGGCAUGCGCAUGAUUAGCCAGUUGGAGAGGUAACGGCUCCCCAAGGCAACGAUCAUUAGGGGUUCUGAGAGGAAGGUCCCCCCACACUGGUACUGAGACACGGACCAGACUCCUACGGGAGGCAGCAGUGAGGAAUAUUGGUCAAUGGACGAGAGUCUGAACCAGCCAAGUCGCGUGCAGGAAGAAUUGUCCUAUGGAUUGUAAACUGCUUUUGCAGGGGAAUAAAGUGCAUCACGUGUGAUGUUUUGUAUGUACUCUGCGAAUAAGGAUCGGCUAACUCCGUGCCAGCCGCCGC